RNAcentral lists this ribosomal RNA (282 nucleotides) under uncultured prokaryote. Its description in RNAcentral is "partial 16S ribosomal RNA". It matches the Rfam family "Bacterial small subunit ribosomal RNA", at positions 524 to 803 of the family's 1533-position model. The record is from RNAcentral.
CACGUAGGGGGCGAGCGUUGUCCGGAAUUACUGGGCGUAAAGCGCGCGUAGGUGGUUCGUUAAGUUAGGAGUGAAAGCCCCGGGCUCAACCUGGGAAUUGCUUCUAAAACUGGCGAGCUAGAGUAUGGUAGAGGGUGGUGGAAUUUCCUGUGUAGCGGUGAAAUGCGUAGAUAUAGGAAGGAACAUCAGUGGCGAAGGCGACCACCUGGACUGAUACUGACACUGAGGCGCGAAAGCGUGGGGAGCAAACAGGAUUAGAUACCCCGGUAGUCCCUGAGCGGG